Molecule: RNA transcript, 2479 nt
Organism: Juglans microcarpa x Juglans regia
Lineage: Eukaryota; Viridiplantae; Streptophyta; Magnoliopsida; Fagales; Juglandaceae
Gene name: cysteine-rich receptor-like protein kinase 26
Exons: 9
Source: RefSeq, a predicted model, not a curated record
UGUCGCCUAUAAAAAGAAAAUAAAAAAAGCAUCUUUAAUUGCUCCACCAUUAACCUCUCUUGAUUGAAGACAUGGCAAUAAUGGUUUCGUCAACAUUAGUUCUUUUGUUCGUCGCUGCCAUUUUCAGGAUAAUUUCUCAAGCCGUUGCACAGCCAGCCUUCCUAUACCAUUCCUGUUUAGACGACGACAGGGAUAACUUCAUUUCUGACAGUACAUAUAAGGCAAAUCUCAAUCACCUCCUCCACUCCAUUUCUAACAGUACCGAAAUUAUUAACAACGGAUUCUACAACUCUUCUUAUGGCUCGAACAUCAACGAAGUACACGCGAUUGGACUCUGUAGAGGAGAUGUUCAACUGGAUGUUUGCCGCGGUUGCCUCUACAAUGCUAGUUACCUUCUCCCUGAGCUCUGUCCCGAUCAUAAGGAGGCAAUUGGGUGGUACGACCACUGUAUGCUACGCUACUCAAAUCGCUCCAUUUUGGGCGUCAUAGAAACCAGCCCCAAUUUCACCAUUUGGGGCAUCAAUAACGUAUCGGCUAACUAUGCGGAUCAGUUCUUUGACGUUGCUAGGAGCUUGCUGGAAAGGCUAAGAAGUCGAGCUGCCGCAAGCUAUUCUCUUCGUAAGUUCGCAGCAGGGAAUGCAGCCGUAUCAAACUUCAAAACAAUAUAUGCACUCGUGCAAUGCACGCCUGACUUAUCUGAACAAGAAUGCAACGAUUGCUUGCUUGGGGCAUCUGAAGGUAUUCCACGAUGUUGUGAUGGGAAGGAAGGUGGGAGAAUCGCUAGACCCAGCUGUGAUAUCAGGUUUGAGGUCUACCCCUUCUAUUACUCUACAACUAACUCGCCACCCCCUGCUCAUUCGCCAAUCCCAACUGAUCAUCCUCAAAAGUCGCCUACUAACAAAGGGACCCUGUACUUUAUUCCAAUUUUGGCAUCUAUUACUUUUCUUGGACUAAUCUCGUCCAUCGCGGGCAUCUAUAUAAGGGCGAAGCGGGGAAGGAAGAAAAUUGAAAAUGAGAUAAUUGGAUCCAUACUAUUCGACUUUGACAAUAUUAAAGUUGCGACAAACAACUUUUCCGAAGCAAAUAAACUUCGAGAAAGUGAAUUUGGUACUGUUUACAAGGGUACGUUCUCUAAUAAAGUCAUUACUGUAAAAAGGCUGUCAACGGGUUUUGGACACGAAGGUGUAGAAUUUGAGGAUAAGGUCCUUUCGCUGACUAAACUUCGACACGGUAAUAUUGUUGAGCUCCUAGGCUGUUCCGUUGAAGGAAAUGAAAGACUUCUAAUAUAUGAUUUUGUUCCAAAUACAAGCCUUGAUCACUACCUGUCUGAUCCGCUCAAGCUUGCAACUUUGGAUUGGGAAAUGCGCUACAAAAUCAUAAGAGGCAUUGCACAAGGGGUUCUUUACCUUCAUGAAAAAUCUGAACUAUGUUUUAAUCAUGGUCUUGAAGCUAGUAACAUAUUUGUGGACGAAGAAAUGAAUCCAAAGAUUUCAGAAUUUGGCUUGAAAAGCUUGCUUUCAUUGGAUCAAAUUCCCGAGAAUACAAGUAGAAUUGAGAGGAUCGAAGAAGCUCCGGAUGUAAUGCACCUGCUGUUCGCAAUGAUGUCUGAUGUCUUUAACUUUGGUGUAUUAGUGUUGGAGAUAGUGAGCGGACAGAAGAAUAAUUGCUUUCGAGAUGAGGAGAAUGCGGACACUCUUUUGAGCUAUGCUCGGAGGAACUUCAGCCAAGGAACUGCUUCAAAUAUUAUAGAUCCCACAAUAUUGAUGCCAGAUGGCUCAACAUCUGAAAUAAUAAACUGCAUCCUCACUGCCUUACUCUGUGCUGAAGCAAAUGAAGCUGAUAGACCAACCAUGGCUUCAGUUGUUACCAUGCUCGACGGUACUGACAAACAUGGAAGCAUGGAAACCGAAAUGCCAUCAUUUGAGGAUGAUCAUAGAGUGUUAGGUAGGAGAACUUUCCUUCGGAGGGUCCGCAGUUUGUUUUGGACCAAAAAAGGCGGCUUUCGCGUCCUAGAAUCAUAGUAGACAACGCUGAUCUGAGCCACCAUAUAUAUAGGCAUUCGGAACUUUUGAAUUCUCCCAAUUAUUCCACCAUAUAGAGCGUCUUUGGAGUUGAACGGAGAUGGCAAUGGACGUUCCAAUACUGGAAUUGCCCAACAUAUGUAGGAAAGUUCACUUGGUGAGCCUGAUUAUGGGGAUCUUUCUCUGAUGAACGGCUGAUAGAGGGAUCUUUAGGAAAAGAUAUGUCAUUCAGAACAGGUGAUAGGCAAGCGGGUAAAUGGGCCUAUGUUCCCGACGUUGAAAGCGAAGCCGCGAAAGGUCUGGGAAAAUAUCUUCUAACUACGUGCACAGGGCCCUAGCCUUGUUUCUUGGGUCUGGUUCGGCUUAAAACCAAGGUCCAAGUCCGUGCAAAGCCAGCCAUCAGUGGCAAACUUGUUUUGCAUUGUUGACCGAGAAUUAUACUAUUUGCAUUGACCUGA